GAUGAACGCUGGCGGCGUGCCUAAUACAUGCAAGUCGAGCGAACAGAUAAGGAGCUUGCUCCUUUGAAGUUAGCGGCGGACGGGUGAGUAACACGUGGGUAACCUACCUAUAAGACUGGGAUAACUUCGGGAAACCGGAGCUAAUACCGGAUAACAUUUAGAACCGCAUGGCUCUAAAGUGAAAGAUGGUUUUGCUAUCACUUAUAGAUGGACCCGCGCCGUAUUAGCUAGUUGGUAAGGUAACGGCUUACCAAGGCGACGAUACGUAGCCGACCUGAGAGGGUGAUCGGCCACACUGGAACUGAGACACGGUCCAGACUCCUACGGGAGGCAGCAGUAGGGAAUCUUCCGCAAUGGGCGAAAGCCUGACGGAGCAACGCCGCGUGAGUGAUGAAGGGUUUCGGCUCGUAAAACUCUGUUAUUAGGGAAGAACAAAUGUGUAAGUAACUGUGCACAUCUUGACGGUACCUAAUCAGAAAGCCACGGCUAACUACGUGCCAGCAGCCGCGGUAAUACGUAGGUGGCAAGCGUUAUCCGGAAUUAUUGGGCGUAAAGCGCGCGUAGGCGGUUUCUUAAGUCUGAUGUGAAAGCCCACGGCUCAACCGUGGAGGGUCAUUAGAAACUGGGAAACUUGAGUGCAGAAGAGGAAAGUGGAAUUCCAUGUGUAGCGGUGAAAUGCGCAGAGAUAUGGAGGAACACCAGUGGCGAAGGCGACUUUCUGGUCUGUAACUGACGCUGAUGUGCGAAAGCGUGGGGAUCAAACAGGAUUAGAUACCCUGGUAGUCCACGCCGUAAACGAUGAGUGCUAAGUGUUAGGGGGUUUCCGCCCCUUAGUGCUGCAGCUAACGCAUUAAGCACUCCGCCUGGGGAGUACGACCGCAAGGUUGAAACUCAAAGGAAUUGACGGGGACCCGCACAAGCGGUGGAGCAUGUGGUUUAAUUCGAAGCAACGCGAAGAACCUUACCAAAUCUUGACAUCCUUUGAAAACUCUAGAGAUAGAGCCUUCCCCUUCGGGGGACAAAGUGACAGGUGGUGCAUGGUUGUCGUCAGCUCGUGUCGUGAGAUGUUGGGUUAAGUCCCGCAACGAGCGCAACCCUUAAGCUUAGUUGCCAUCAUUAAGUUGGGCACUCUAGGUUGACUGCCGGUGACAAACCGGAGGAAGGUGGGGAUGACGUCAAAUCAUCAUGCCCCUUAUGAUUUGGGCUACACACGUGCUACAAUGGACAAUACAAAGGGCAGCUAAACCGCGAGGUCAUGCAAAUCCCAUAAAGUUGUUCUCAGUUCGGAUUGUAGUCUGCAACUCGACUACAUGAAGCUGGAAUCGCUAGUAAUCGUAGAUCAGCAUGCUACGGUGAAUACGUUCCCGGGUCU
Molecule: ribosomal RNA, 1372 nt
Filed under: uncultured bacterium
Lineage: Bacteria
Description: bacterial SSU rRNA
Rfam family: Bacterial small subunit ribosomal RNA
Source: RNAcentral